AGUGAACGCUGGCGGUAGACCUAACACAUGCAAGUCGAACGGCAGCACAGUAAGAGCUUGCUCUUACGGGUGGCGAGUGGCGGACGGGUGAGGAAUACAUCGGAAUCUACUUUUUCGUGGGGGAUAACGUAGGGAAACUUACGCUAAUACCGCAUACGACCUACGGGUGAAAGCAGGGGAUCUUCGGACCUUGCGCGAUUGAAUGAGCCGAUGUCGGAUUAGCUAGUCGGCGGGGUAAAGGCCCACCAAGGCGACGAUCCGUAGCUGGUCUGAGAGGAUGAUCAGCCACACUGGAACUGAGACACGGUCCAGACUCCUACGGGAGGCAGCAGUGGGGAAUAUUGGACAAUGGGCGCAAGCCUGAUCCAGCCAUACCGCGUGGGUGAAGAAGGCCCUCGGGUUGUAAAGCCCUUUUGUUGGGAAAGAAAAGCAGCAGGUUAAUACCCCGCUGUUCUGACGGUACCCAAAGAAUAAGCACCGGCUAACUUCGUG
RNAcentral lists this ribosomal RNA (492 nucleotides) under uncultured bacterium. Its description in RNAcentral is "partial 16S ribosomal RNA". It matches the Rfam family "Bacterial small subunit ribosomal RNA", at positions 29 to 507 of the family's 1533-position model. The record is from RNAcentral.